RNAcentral lists this transfer RNA (76 nucleotides) under Thermodesulfobacteriota bacterium. RNAcentral describes it as "tRNA-Gly". It matches the Rfam family "tRNA". Rfam says of the family: Transfer RNA (tRNA) molecules are approximately 80 nucleotides in length. Their secondary structure includes four short double-helical elements and three loops (D, anti-codon, and T loops). The record is from RNAcentral. RNAcentral also lists the same sequence under 1 other name. Lineage: Bacteria; Pseudomonadati; Thermodesulfobacteriota.
GCAGAUGUAGCUCAGCUGGUAGAGCACGACCUUGCCAAGGUCGGGGUCGCGAGUUCGAAUCUCGUCAUCUGCUCCA